AGUGAACGCUGGCGGUAGGCCUAACACAUGCAAGUCGAACGGCAGCACAGGAGAGCUUGCUCUCUGGGUGGCGAGUGGCGGACGGGUGAGGAAUACAUCGGAAUCUACUCUGUCGUGGGGGAUAACGUAGGGAAACUUACGCUAAUACCGCAUACGACCUACGGGUGAAAGCAGGGGACCUUCGGGCCUUGCGCGAUUGAAUGAGCCGAUGCCGGAUUAGCUAGUUGGCGGGGUAAAGGCCCACCAAGGCGACGAUCCGUAGCUGGUCUGGGAGGGUGAUCAGCCACACUGGAACUGAGACACGGUCCAGACUCCUACGGGAGGCAGCAGUGGGGAAUAUUGGACAAUGGGCGCAAGCCUGAUCCAGCCAUACCGCGUGGGUGAAGAAGGCCUUCGGGUUGUAAAGCCCUUUUGUUGGGAAAGAAAUCCAGCUGGCUAAUACCCGGUUGGGAUGACGGUACCCAAAGAAUAAGCACCGGCUAACUUCGUGCCAGCCGCCGCUGUAA
RNAcentral lists this ribosomal RNA (506 nucleotides) under uncultured bacterium. Its description in RNAcentral is "partial 16S ribosomal RNA". It matches the Rfam family "Bacterial small subunit ribosomal RNA", at positions 29 to 523 of the family's 1533-position model. The record is from RNAcentral.